GAUGAAGAACGUAGCGAAAUGCGAUAAGUAACGUGAAUUGCAGAAUUCAGUGAAUCAUCGAAUCUUUGAACGCACCUUGCGCUCCCUGGUAUUCCGGGGAGCACGCCUGUUCGAGUGUCGCGAAAUUCUUCAAGCCUUGGAUGGAUUUUUUUUGUCUGUCCUUGGGCUUGGUUGUUGGGCUCUGCCGUGUCCUUCAUUGGGACGGCUGGCCUUAAAAGCAUUAGCCGAUCCUCGUGUGGUACUGGUUCUACUCAGCGUGAUAACAAUCUGAUCGUUGAGGACAUCUUCUGGAUGGCCAGUCAUCAUGUGGGUUGCUUCUAAACCGGUUUCGCAGAUUGCUCAAUCUGUGUGCCACUUUUCAGCUUUGACCUCGAAUCAGGUGGGACUACCCGCUGAACUUAAGCAUAUCAAUAAGCGGAGGA
RNAcentral lists this unclassified non-coding RNA (422 nucleotides) under soil metagenome. RNAcentral describes it as "partial contains 5.8S ribosomal RNA, internal transcribed spacer 2, and large subunit ribosomal RNA". The stretch from base 1 to 120 matches the Rfam family "5.8S ribosomal RNA", at positions 35 to 154 of the family's 154-position model. The record is from RNAcentral.